RNAcentral lists this non-coding RNA (95 nucleotides) under Colwellia sp. Its description in RNAcentral is "c-di-GMP sequence". It matches the Rfam family "c-di-GMP-I riboswitch aptamer". Rfam says of the family: GEMM was predicted in a large-scale screen for bacterial structured RNA regulatory elements. Genes associated with GEMM are involved in a diverse array of functions, including chemotaxis regulation, signal transduction, secretion and chitin. The record is from RNAcentral. RNAcentral also lists the same sequence under 1 other name. Lineage: Bacteria; Pseudomonadati; Pseudomonadota; Gammaproteobacteria; Alteromonadales; Colwelliaceae.
AGUUGAAAAAGGCAAACUAGGUUAAAGUCUAGGACGCAAAGCCAACGGUCUAAGGAAAUUUAGCAAUUUUUUUCUAUGAUAGCGUAGCUACCGAC